Molecule: ribosomal RNA, 800 nt
Filed under: uncultured bacterium
Lineage: Bacteria
Description: bacterial SSU rRNA
Rfam family: Bacterial small subunit ribosomal RNA
Source: RNAcentral
AGAGUUUGAUCAUGGCUCAGAACGAACGCUGGCGGCGUGGCUAAGACAUGCAAGUCAAACGGACCGUAUAAUUGGGUAACCGAGAGUGCGGUUAGUGGCGAAAGGGUGAGGAAUAGAUAGGUAACGUACCCCGAACUUCGGGAUAGCGUCGUCUGCCUUCGGGCAGACUUCCGAAAGGGGCAUUAAUACCGUAUAAUGUCCCCGGCUGCAGGGCCGGGGACCAAAGAUUUAUCGGUUUGGGAGCGGCCUAUCUCCUAUCAGCUAGUUGGUGAGGUAACGGCUCACCAAGGCAACGACGGGUAGCGGGACUGAGAGGUUGACCCGCCACAUCGGGACUGAGACACUGCCCGGACCUCCACGGAGGGCUGCAGUAACGAAUAUUGGGCAAUGGGCGAAAGCCUGACCCAGCAACGCCGCGUGCAGGAGGAAGCCCCUCGGGGUGUAAACUGCUGUCAGGGGCUAGAAAGUCUUCGGAUUGAUCAGCCCCGGAGGAAGUCACGGCUAACUUCGUGCCAGCAGCCGCGGUAAGACGAAGGUGGCGAGCGUUGUUCGAAAUCACUGGGCUUAAAGGGCGCGUAGGCGGACCCGAAAGUGUCGUGUGAAAUCCCCCGGCUUAACCGGGGAAUGGCAGGGCAAACUGCGGGUCUUGAGGCAAGCAGGGGCGCGUGGAACUCUUGGUGGAGCGGUGGAAUGCGUAGAUAUCAAGAGGAACGCCGAAGGUGAAGACAGCGCACUGGGCUUGCCCUGAGCUGAGNNGCGAAAGCGUGGGGAGCAAACAGGAUUAGAUACCCUAGUAGUCC